RNAcentral lists this unclassified non-coding RNA (163 nucleotides) under soil metagenome. RNAcentral describes it as "partial internal transcribed spacer 1". The record is from RNAcentral.
CCGAGUUACACCUCUACAAACCCUUGUGAACAUACCUAUACUGUUGCUUCGGCGGCAGGGGUCCCCGGGACCCGCCGCCCCCCCGUACAAGGGACGGGCCCGCCCGAGGACCCCUAACUCUAGUUUUUACGUGGAACUUCUGAGUAAACCAACAAAUAAAUUA